RNAcentral lists this ribosomal RNA (895 nucleotides) under uncultured bacterium. RNAcentral's name for it is "bacterial SSU rRNA". It matches the Rfam family "Bacterial small subunit ribosomal RNA", at positions 8 to 916 of the family's 1533-position model. The record is from RNAcentral.
AGAGUUUGAUCAUGGCUCAGGACGAACGCUGGCGGCGUGCUUAACACAUGCAAGUCGAACGGUAAGGCCCCAGCUUGCUGGGGUACACGAGUGGCGAACGGGUGAGUAACACGUGGGUGACCUGCCCCGCACUUCGGGAUAAGCCUGGGAAACUGGGUCUAAUACCGGAUAGGACCGCACCGUGAGGGUGUGGUGGAAAGUUUUUCGGUGUGGGAUGGGCCCGCGGCCUAUCAGCUUGUUGGUGGGGUAAUGGCCUACCAAGGCGGCGACGGGUAGCCGGCCUGAGAGGGUGGACGGCCACAUUGGGACUGAGACACGGCCCAGACUCCUACGGGAGGCAGCAGUGGGGAAUAUUGCACAAUGGGCGGAAGCCUGAUGCAGCGACGCCGCGUGGGGGAUGACGGCCUUCGGGUUGUAAACUCCUUUCACCAUCGACGAAGGUUUUCUGACGGUAGAUGGAGAAGAAGCACCGGCUAACUACGUGCCAGCAGCCGCGGCAAUACGUAGGGUGCGAGCGUUGUCCGGAAUUACUGGGCGUAAAGAGCUCGUAGGUGGUUUGUCGCGUCGUCUGUGAAAUUCCGGGGCUUAACUCCGGGCGUGCAGGCGAUACGGGCAUAACUUGAGUACUGUAGGGGAGACUGGAAUUCCUGGUGUAGCGGUGAAAUGCGCAGAUAUCAGGAGGAACACCGGUGGCGAAGGCGGGUCUCUGGGCAGUAACUGACGCUGAGGAGCGAAAGCAUGGGUAGCGAACAGGAUUAGAUACCCUGGUAGUCCAUGCCGUAAACGGUGGGCGCUAGGUGUAGGGGUCUUCCACGACUUCUGUGCCGUAGCUAACGCAUUAAGCGCCCCGCCUGGGGAGUACGGCCGCAAGGCUAAAACUCAAAGGAAUUGACGG